Molecule: ribosomal RNA, 253 nt
Filed under: uncultured bacterium
Lineage: Bacteria
Description: partial 16S ribosomal RNA
Rfam family: Bacterial small subunit ribosomal RNA
Source: RNAcentral
CACGGGGGGAGCAAGCGUUGUUCGGAAUCACUGGGCGUAAAGGGCGUGUAGGCGGUCGAGUAAGUGGAAUGUGAAAUACUCCGGCUCACCCGGAGCACUGCAUCCCAAACUGCUCGGCUUGAGUAUGGGAGAGGACAAGGGAAUUCCUGGUGUAGCGGUGAAAUGCGCAGAUAUCAGGAAGAACACCCGUGGCGAAGGCGGCUCUCUGGGACGGUACUGACGCUGAGACGCGAAAGCGUGGGGAGCGAACAGG